This is a long non-coding RNA of Mytilus trossulus (common blue mussel), 402 nucleotides long. RefSeq lists it as uncharacterized. The transcript has 2 exons. NCBI's taxonomy places the organism in Eukaryota, Metazoa, Mollusca, Bivalvia, Mytilida, Mytilidae. The record is from RefSeq and is a predicted model, not a curated record.
GGCCAACAACAACCGCCACAGUAUAAUCAAGGUCAACCACCACCACAGUAUAAUCAGUAUCCUCCACCAGGUGGCGCAGUGUAUCCACCUGUACAAAAUGCCGCAUAUCCACCACCAAUGGGAGCUCAUCCAGGUCAACCAGCUCCAUCAGCUUUCGCUUACAACCAACCACCACCACCGCCAUAUUCGGGAACAGCACCACAGAAACAAUAGCAUUGCAUUGCAAUUGUUUUAUAGCGGCUGUUGUCAAAGAAUUAUGUUGCCAUACAAAACAGGUUUUAAAGGACUUGCAAUUCAUCAAUGGAAUAACAUUCUGUUCUAAUUGUAUAACUUUGCUGUUUUGCAAUGUUUUAUUUGUACGGAAUAACAUUUAUUUCGGUAAUGAAAGUUUAUAAGAAUGAA